This 38561-nucleotide long non-coding RNA is filed under the name Coffea arabica (coffee). RNAcentral's name for it is "long non-coding RNA (CARA_LNC007938)". The record is from RNAcentral. Lineage: Eukaryota; Viridiplantae; Streptophyta; Magnoliopsida; Gentianales; Rubiaceae.
CUUUUUUUUUUUUUUUUUUUUUUUUUUGUGUUUGCUGAUUCUGUUUAGUUCAGCUAAUCUUACUCGAAAGCCAAGGCACAUUGAAGAAAGAAAGAAAGAAAAUUAUACACAAAUAUUACAGCACAAAAACAUUUUAGGCAUCAAGCCAUCAUUUUAUUUAUAAAUAUUCAUUGUAAUUAGUAUAUCAAACACACAAUCACAGCCACAACAAAUUUAAUAAAGCUCUCUCACCAAGCUUAUAACAUGACAUACAUAACCUUAACAAGCUUUUAUUUCAUACUCACACCAUUCUAUCUCUUAUUAUUAUUCAACUAGCGAAAUAACUAUGCAUGUUCAUGCCUUGACAAGUGAAGCAUCCACGUCUUUUCCAGCAUGAAUCAGCCAGUGGAGGUACUUAGUUGGAGCAGGCUCAUUCUCAUUGAUAUUCUCAUACUCAAUUGUCCAUUUGGCAUAGUUGGACUGACUUUUUGGAAUAACUUGUAAGGUAGCCUUGUAGCUCUUUAAUUGUUCCAAAAUAUGUCCUCCAACUGCUUCUGCAGUGACAGUCUUGUUCUCUUCAUCCACCGUAAGCCUUUCUUUCAGAGUCUCAACUUUUCCAUCUGGGCAGUAAAAUAUUUAUCAAAUUAUGCCAUUAUUAUAGGGAUAUUCUACCAAAUUGGUGGCAGAAAAACAUUAAGUUAUGAUGCAUAUCAUCUUGAAAUUCCCAGGAAAAUCACCAUAAUAUCAAACUGUUCUACACUAACUUUUAAAAAAAAAAUAAUUCAUGCAACUCAAAUUAGUAACUAUCAAUCUUACAAAGUAGAGAGUUGGUUUUUGCUACCUAUUGCAUAAGUCCAGAGCUUGACAGAGCCCUUAGUUUUCCAGUCACCUUGAUGAACUUUAACACCAUGAACUUUGUCGGAGCAAAGAUUUGGAAGUUUGUGCGCUUUACCACCAAAGCUGUGGAAGAACUCAUCAGGAUCAGACUUAAUCUUUAUCUCAGCUUCUAACUUUCCAGCUAGAAUUGGACUAGCCAUAAUUGGUUGUAGUAAUGCUGAAAAAUCGCUAUGCACCUUUUCCUAGUAAAUGUUCUACCAACUAAACUGGCUGCACCAUGAUUUAUAGAAUCAAAUUUUCAUUUCACAGUAGCUUUUAGAUUAUUACGUAGAUUAAGUCAACAUUUUGUGCAAAACUGUUUAGCAUAGAUGGUUAAUUGAGUGAAUGCAAAACUUUUUUAUGACAAAGUAUGUUCUAUUUGCAGUAACAAACUUGAUAGUUUUAUUAGAGAGGUAAAAAAUGUCAUAGCAUUUAUUCACGUGGUAAGUAGACAAAAAAAAGAUUUUUUUUCCAAACUUUAUAAUGUUUUUGGGAUGAUUGGAAAGGGAAAUCAGAGUAUGUUGACAAAUUGUUUUUUUUUUUUUCCUUUUUUUAUAGGUACUCACGCGUAUUGUUACAAGAAUGGAAAUGAAAAAAAUUUAUUUUGGCCCUUCAAAUCAAGAAAUUGUACAUUUGUCCGCUUCAUGAAUGGUGAAGCACAUCAGAAAGUCAUGUUUUUUUGUUUAUUCAUUUUUCUUUCUUUGUUCGAUACUCAACAACACGAUGGAUACGCUCAGCAAAAGUCGCAAACGCCAAAAUCUUGAUGAAAGCAGCUCUUCAGCCAUCAUCAUGUUGAAAAUACUGCAAAACAGUAGUGAAGGGCAUUGCAUUCAUGUAUCAAUAAGGCUACUUCUAAGACAAGAGAAAAGGAUUUGAAUAUUUUCUUUUUAGCUGCACCAAUCUAAUUGUUUGCUAAUUUUGGGCAAUUGACUAGUAUGAUCAUCUCAUACAUUAUCUGUAUUUGAUAAUUGAUAUAGGUAAUUACCUGCCAAUGAAUAAAACCAAUUACACGGUUUAAAAAGGGAACCUAAUUGGUACAAAUUGAGAUAGUUACGUUGACAACUACAUUGUGGCAUUGGAGAGAGGGUUGAAUUAGAUGAUAAGUUAAGAGAGAUUGUAAGUAAGAGGUUUAGGGUUAAAGACCUCCCACUUACAAGCCAAAAAAAAGACAACUUCAAGGUGGCAUAAAGUGACUAAAUUGAAUGUUCAAUUUAAAAAGUGAGAACUAAUGCCAUAAUACAGAGUAACAACUUCAAAGUGGUGGUUGCUAAUAAUUGUCAUCAUAUAUAUGCAAUAUUUAUUGAAAACCUAGGACCAAUUGCCAUAUACAGGGAUAAAGAUCUUACUAAUCAGUUGAUCCAUCUGAUUCGAUUACAUUCUUUUUCUUUUUCUUUUGCUUUUCAGAGAAUUGGAAUUUUAUUGCUGUAAAUCUUUUUACUGCAGCAGAAAUCUAUAUGCUCCACUACAAGCAUAUAUAUUAACCCUUGAACUAGCCAGUCCAGGUUUUUUUGUUGGACUAGGCUCAUUCUGGUUCAGUUUUUCAUAGUCAAUGGUACAUUUGGCAAAGCUGGAGUCACCUCUGGAGAUAACUUGUAACGUUGCUUUAUAGUUCUUGUAGUGCUUCAUACAAUCUCCAUCUAUUGCCUCAGCAGCAUUGGUCUUGUUCUCCUCGUCAAUUUUGAGCCUCUCUUUGUAUACCUCAACUUUCCCAUCUAUAUUUGCAUCACAAAGAAAUUCAUUAGUGGCUUUUCUUAACAUUGAAUAAUGUUUUACUCUUAAUUUGUUGUUUCCUAUAUUAUCUAGCUAUUAGGCUCAAUUUGCCACAUUUUGGGAAAAACGAAUUUAACAAGAAAAUGUAAUGGAGAAAAGUAUCAAUUAUUAAAAACUAUUGAUGCUUCGUUACGCCAAACUAAACUACAAUAUAGACUCCUUAUCCUUGAUGUCUUUCUCAUUUCGUUAGGAAAAUUAGAUAAUUGACUGAGUAUGCUAACUACUUCACAAGCUAGAUCGCAUAAAAAAAAUAAAAAUUCAUAAAACUUAAAGGAGUAAAUGAACAUUAAGAUACAGUAAAGUGAUGGUUUUACCUAAGUACAACAAAUAAGAAGUAGGCGUGGCAUUAUUUUUUGUGCAAAAGGGUAAAAACUUUUAUAAUGAAAGUGUUACAAUUCAAGAGAUGAGUGGUAGUAUUGAAAGAAAGAGUGUAAGUGAGAGAUUCCGAAUUCGAAACCUCGCACUUACACUAAAAAAAUGAUAGUAAUUUUAAAAGUUUAGUAGAAGGUCCUCUUCUUCUUCUUCUUCUUUUCUUUGUGCUUAUCUGUUGCCUUUAUAAAACUCAAUAGAAAAAUCUUAUUAUUCUACCGUCUUCACAUAAGAAGCAAUAAUAUAGAGUCAAUUUCUUUGCAACCAGUGAAAGGAUAAGGAGAUAAAGUCAAUUGAGGAGGCUAAUUACGAUAAUAUGUUAAGCUCAAUAAAAAUGCCAUGAAACAUAUGAUAAGAGUUGUUGUCAAGAAAUUAUACAAAAAGAUACCGAGGGAAGCCCAAAGCCCGUGAAAGGAAUAUAAAAAAUAAAAGAUUGUGAAUAUAUCAAAUAAAAUUGCGGUCCAUGGGCACGAAAUAAGUUGAGUACAAAUUUUGGUAUGAUCGAUUCAUAAAUUUCUGCUGAAAGAUUGUCUCCUGAAUUAUUUGUGGACAUCGAUUGUGAUGGCUCGGAAAACUUAGUUUCCUCUAAUUCAACAAAUUAGUUAUAUGUUGAUUUAUUUGAUCGAUUCAUAUAUAGCUUGCUUUAUCAGUUACCUUUGAUUCAAAAGUCAGUCCACUGUUUGCAGUACUUACUUAUAAGAAUGUGGUUUAAUAAUUUUGCAGAGUAAAAUUUAGAGAGGUUUUGAGGGCUUAGUUGACGAAAAUUUAACAAAUAUAUGGAAGGCCAAGCUAAGAAUCAGGGCCUGACAGAUAUUAUUACACUAUGAGGUCUCAUUUCGAUUUACUCUACCAUUUAUUUAUUUUUUGAAUAAUUGAAAUGGAAUUCAUAUAUAUUCAUUCUUAAGAAAUUGUUCUAAUAUUGCCCCUUUCCUACCUAGUACUGUAUUAUUUUUUCUUGACAAGGCGCACAAAUAAAUAAGACAUUUUAUUUUAGUUGUCAUUGAUAGGUUGCAAUUUUAUCAUUUAUUUUAUUAUUAAUUUUCCCUAUUACCUGACUUGAUGUGAAUUAAUUAUUAGAUUCUACUCACUUUUCGUAAUUUACAUUUAUUUCAGAGAGUAGAACAAAAAUAUCACAAUCAAGGCCAAUUUGACAGUCAUCGGGAAAGAAUUCAAAUAGCAGGCAAUUAAAGGCAUUCUUGGAACAAGGAGAUGCAAGACCUUUUUGGUAAUUUUGAGCCAAGACAGCAACUAAAAAAGGGAAAAGAAAGCAAACCUGGGGAAGCGUCCAGAGGCUUCGUCCUCUCCGCAAGGGGGAGCCGCCGCACAAGGCAGGAGCAAUAGAGAGGAACUAGAAUUGGAAAUGGCAGGAGGGGAGCACUACUCUGGAGCUUUAGCGUUGACUUUUCCUUCCUUUGCUUCUUAGUAGUUUUUGUCUUCUCUCGGAUGUCAGGAACAAUUGAAGCAUUGAAUCAUUUCCUUGUAGCUUUUUCGUUUGAUUUUUCCUUGUGACCUGUAGUGGAUUCCUCCUGCCACAUGAUGGCCGCAGCUCUUGUUUCAAUUUUGUAUGGGUUUUGUUCAUCAAAUAUAAACUAAUUUUCUCAUUCUAGUCAAGGGACAACGGAUGCUCUGAUUCGACUAAAAUUGUGAGAUCGCUUUAAUUUUAUCCUUUUCUUUAUUUAUUGGUAUUCGCAUAUUUCCUGAUUAUAGUACUUAAGAUUGUUUAAUUAAUUGAUUGUCUUGGAUCCGGAUAAUUAGUUAAUUUGAUAAUCUAUUGUCAAUUGGGACGUUAAAUCCGUAAUUGUUUAAUUGUCUCAAAAUAGUGAUAACUGGCAUGAUUGGGUUUGUGUUAGGGGGAUGUGCGGGCCAAUCUGAAAUAACCCUGGUAGUGCGUUAUUUGGUUAGAAUAGGGCUCCUCUAAUUCGUAAGGCAAUUGAGGAAUUAAAUCUUACGGGCGUACCUAAGAUUAUUUUUUAAUUAGAGUAGUGAUUAACGGACGUACCUUAAUCACCGAUACAGUAAGGAGGGGUUAACUGUCAUCGCUUGUUUGGCAGUUAUAACCUAUUUAUUAGUAAAUAAUUGGAAUUGCCUUUGUUUCAAUGAUCAAUUAGGUGAACCAUUGCUGAAGUUAUUUCUUGGCUAGAUCCUUAAUUAUCACUCAUUUGAUUUUAGUAAUUUGUUAUUUAAUUUUUAGUAGUUUCUUAGAUUUUAUUUGAAUUUCUUUGAGUGUCACCUUCUGCACAAAAACAUUCCCCUUUGUCACUGUGAAUUUGAAAAGAAACAAUUACUCCCAGUCCCUGUGGAUUCGACCCUACUCACCGCUAUCUACAGAAAUUACUUUUAGUUUGAGCAGGUUUUAUUAUUGCACAGGUUUCGACACCCUGUCAGUCAUGAAUUAGGAAAAGAGCUUUUUUCCUGAAAUUCAUUUUUUAAUGUUUCUUGAUUUUUGUCUCCUACCAAGAAAAAAAAAAAAAAAAGUAUCUGUCCUUUUGGUUUCUCAUAUUUUUGCAACUUUUGCAGGUAUGUAUCAACAAAUUGUCAUUGGGAUAUAUGUGUGUGUUUGUGUGCGCGUGCACGCAUGUGUAAAUGUAUGUAUGUACAUAUAUGUGCAUAUGUGUAUGUAUGUACAUACAUACAUAUAUACAUACAUAUAUAUGUAUAUAUAUGUGUGUAUGUAUAUAUAUGUAUACAUAUAUACACCACACCACACACCACACCACACACAUGCAUAUAUAUAUAUAUAUAUAUGUGUGUGUGUGUUUAUGUAUAUAUAUGUAUGUAUGUAUGUAUGUACAUACGUACGUUCAUCAAGGAUUUUCAGCCAACUCAUUGCUUUGUGUACUAGCCACAAAGGUAUUCCUAACAACUACCAUUUAAUUGUUGGAUACAUUAAUUAAUCUAAAGGACAAACCUGCAAGGCUGUUGGAUCUCAUUAAUUAAAUAAGAGCCCAGUGUACAUCUUGGUCAUCAUGACCAGUUAAUGGCAAUAAGGUUGUACUCUCUAUCUUGCCGAAGAGUGGCCAAAUCGAAGAGGCGCCUUAAUGUUUAUCACUACAAACUUACAAAAAUUAUUUUGGUUUCUACAGGUAAAUUCUGCAAGCAAUUGAAAAGCAAAAAGUUCAACCGGCAGAAAAUUGUGUGGAUUAUUAAAUCUUAAUGCACAAUAACUUUUGCGACAAUCUUAAGCCUAAUUAAUAACUCGUAAUCCACCAUAAGCCGUGAUGAUUGCUGCGCCCAAUGCGAUAGGGAAAAAAUAAAAAAAAAGAAACUCGUUUUCCAGUCACCUUCGUGCACUUCAAUCCUGUUAACUUUCUCAUUCACAAGAUCUGGGAGUUGGUGUGCUUCAGCGCCAAAGCUAGGAAGAACUCAUCAGCAUCAGACAUCAGCCUGAAUUCAGCCUCCAACUUACCUACUAAUUUACUAGUCAUAGUAGAGAGUUCCUACUAAUUGAUCAAACCGAAAAAAAAAAAAAGAAGAAGAAAAGCCCUACUAAUAACCUUGAACAAUACUAUGUUUUAUGCAACUCAGCCACUUGACUACCUGAUCUAUAGAUGCUUCAUUAAUUGGUUGGCUCCCACAAGUUACAAAUGUGUGGUUCUCUUUUCUUUUAGCUGCAAAAUAUGCGUGUAAUCGUGAAGAUGAACGCAUGUUGCAAUAUCUUCUCAUGCAAAUGAUAUACUGCUGCGUUUAGCCAAUACUGUCACACUUGAUUAUUAGUUAAAUUGGUAAAUGCUCCACUUCUGUCUCCAACGGGGAAUUCAAUGGGAAAUAAUGAUGUGGGGUAUACUUCUUUUUUUAGGGGCGCCGGGUUAUACAUUUUUAUCUAAUCCUUAUCCAUAGAAAGCAGAAAUCAAAAUUGCUCUACAUUUCAAUUGAAGUCCAUGAUAAUUUUUUGGACAAGUUUGAUUUGUUUUGUACAGUUAUAUGUUUAGGACAACAUGCCAAGAAUCGACCAAAAGUAGACUCACAAAACACUAGCGUACGUAGCUUAAAGGACAAUUUCGAUUUUGCAUAGGUAAUGUUUUGAUAGAUUUUCAGCUUGCACUUUAAACUUCUAUUUUAAAGUCUUUUAGUUUUAUGAAUACACUUUUUUUUCUGUAAUCUAUCUGUAAUCAAAAUAUAUAAUGGGCUUUGAGUAUUCCUAAGAAGAAGCGCAAUUCACUUUUGCAAAAGAAGUAAAAUUAAGAAGUGAAAUUGUUAUUUAAAUUUAUAUAUUUGUUGUGCAGGUGCGUACAUUUAUUGUUCCUAUGCAUACAUUGUAGAGUUCAAUUGUAACUAACAUUGUGGAGAUACUACACGCCAAUGUUGUACUUUCUGCUGGUUUAGUUCACCUCUUUGGGGACAUUUAGCAAGAAGUCAAGAUAUGAUAAAUAAGUGUGUGUGAUACAGCAAAAUUUUAUUAAAUUACAUGACGAAAUUGUGAUCUAACUGAAGUUUUGCUCAUGUUCCUUCGUUAGAAAAUCAAUUAACGUGUUUGUUAUCACAAGAUUACUUAUGCAAUUUAGAGAUCCUCUUUUGAUUAAGAAACCAAAAGAGAUAUUUAAAGAGAGGAAACUAGAGAGAUCCUUGAAGUUUGAAGGUUCAUUAUGGUGAACCGAUGCACUUAGCAUUUAUGUCUUCUUCAAGCCAAAACACUGAGAUAGAUAUAAAGCCACACCAAACAUUUAUUGAUCUUUGCCUUCAAAAUUCGUCGAAAUUCACUAAUUAGAUUGAUCUUUUCUACACAGCAUAUAAUUGUAAUUACACAUGCAAUUCGAAAUUCAAGUUACUUGUAUUAAAAGAAUUUUGCUAGUUCAUCUAUGAUGAUACGUAAAUCAAAGAGUGCAUGGGUUAGAAAAGUUAUGGCAUGGUAUCAGUGAAUGUCGCUCGUUUUGUGGAGUUCUAAACCUUGAGGUGGUUCGGAAUUUUAUUGCAGCCAACUUUGAUCCUAAUGGGGGGGGGGGGGGGGGGGGACGGGGAUAAAAUCAGGCUUUUCCAAUAGAACUGGCUCACAGAUUAAAAGGGUGUGAUCCCUUUUCCCUCUUGCAUGUUGCAAUUUGAUUAACUUCCAGUGCGUUUAGGAAAACAUUAGUAUAAAGGAGUGAAAGAGUGCCUGAAAUUUGCAAUGGCGAAAGUGUAUGGACAUUAUUUGUGCAGACAUUUGAGAGAGAAUGCUGAGCUGAUAAUCCUUGAUGGAGCAGGGCAUUCAUGGGGUUAUGAAAAAAUCUAAGGAGUUAUAUAAGCACCUAAAAACCUUUCUCAUAGGCUGAAUCAACCAACCGACUUUAGGCACUUCAAUCCUUCCUCUUCAACUCACAGAAGAAAAUUUGUCGUUCAACUCAAUUUUCGAGGCUAAAAAUGUAGAGGAAAGCCUCUAAUCAAUUGAAUUUAUAGGUACACUUUGUUUCCCAGAAUAAAUAACUGACAAUGAUGGUUAAUAAUUCUUUCAACAAUGUUCCAUUCAUGAUGUAUCUUUACUCAAGCUAUUGUAGAUCAUACAAAUUCCACUUGUGGAAGGAAGACGGGAAAAUUAAACCAUGUUCAUGGCUGGCCACUAAAUCCUUUGUUAAUGACUUCUAAUCAACUACUACUAUUUCAAAGAUACCAUAAGACCACUAAAAAUUCAGCUAAACACAUACCAUUCUGGGUAAACGAUGUCAUGGCCCUCAAAUGACCUAAUCAGCCUAACUUCAAGGGUGCCUAUUAUGAAAAGGACCAUAUGCCCAAAUUGUUUCACAUCCUAAAUUAUCUAAGUAAAAGUAUAUUGAGACAAGAAAAAAAGAAAAAAAAAAGAAUAGAUAAACUAUGCUCCCUUUCUUUUCAAAAUAUUCAAUCGGUAAGCACUAAUCAAACUGAAUAGUCUCAAAAGCAUAACUCAAUCAUAUAAUGAUCACAGAGAAUAGCGAAAAAAGAAAGGGAGAAGAAGCGGUGGUCUAGUACUCUGGUCGCAGACUCAAAUUUUGGUUUUUGGAGAAGGGUCGGUAGUAGUGGUUUUCGACAGAGAAUGAUAGAGACUGAAGUUUGAGAGUCUGAGAGUGUGGACUUAGGGUUUAGUUCUUUUAGGAAUUUUAUUUUUAAAAUUUUUAACGGGAUCAAAUUGACUGCAAUGCCCAAGAAACUAGCUGUACUACAAAAGUUAAGGGUAGAAAUUUCUCAAUAAGUUCUGAACACUUAUGUGUUUUAAGUCAUAUAAAUUUAAUUAUUUAAUAUUUACACCAGCGCUCGAUAGCACACUAUAUUCCUACUUGCACUCGACUCAUUAAAACAAUCGAACAUGUUUGAAAUUGAUUCAAACAUGAUCAAAGUCAAAACAAGACGAUCCAUUGAUCAAGCAGCUCCAUAUGUGCACCCGAGUUGCUUGAUUCGCAUACAUUCCUAUCGCAAAAUCAUAGUAAUUGAACCUUCAACAUCGAGUAUAGGAUUGGCCUUUGUUAUUCACCUAAUGCUUAAGUACAUAGCCUGACAGAGCCGGCAUUCUUCCAAUCACCUUGAUGAACAUCAAUGCCAUGGACUUUCUCGGAACCCAGAUUUGGAAGUUGGUGUGCUUUACAACCAAAGCUAUUGAAGAACUCAUCAGGAUCAGACUUGGAUCUUUAUCUCAGCCUCCAACUUUUCUGCUGUAUUAGCCAUAGUUUUUUCUAGCUCUACUAGUAAAAAAGCUACUGAUUUUCAGCUCACCUUCACCUAGUAGAAUGCAAAUGCUAACGUAUAUGUACCUUAACCAUCGGACCACCGCUUAUAUAGGAUCAGUUCCAUUUUUCCGUACAUUUGUGAUGGUUUGUACUAAUAUCUUUGCUUUUUAUCAAUUGUGUUUUAGGUUUAUGUAGUUAUACCGCUCAUACCUAUGCUUAAAUUUCAAUAUACUAAUUGGGCUUAAGUAGCAAAGUUUUGAAAUUUAAUUUAAAAAGAAAAAAAAAAAAAAAAAGAAAACCUGGCUACAUUAUUUUUGGAUUAGGUCAGGAAAUUUGCCUUGCUAUUCUUCUUCAUCAUAGUCAAGACAAAAUUUCUGUUGUUAGACUAUUACCAAGAUUAGGUUAAUUAUCUAUGUCCUUUGAUGUGAGGCAACAUGUCCCAGAUUAAAAUUAAGGGGCAGAUAAAAUGUCAUAUUAAUCCAAGAAAACCCAACUGCAACCAGAACUAGAUUUCAUGCCAUCACCUAAGACGAGUGGGUUAGAAAGAUUUGUUUGCUUGAUAUGUGAUAAUACAGGCUUCGUUAAUAAGUUAUUAAUGCGAAUAUGCAAAACAAAUGGUUACAUUAUAGAUUCCUGUGCUUUGUGUUAAAGCUUUUUUUUUUUUUUUGGCAACAAAUUUUUGGACUGCACGGAUCAUUCCUUGCUGCUUUUAGAUUUCAAAACAGAAGCUACAAAGUACAGAACAUUUUCAGUUUUAGAAAUGCACCUCGGUUUUUCAAAAGGUGCAUUGACUACUGUAAAGAAUAGUUUCAGCUCCAUGAGAUCGAUGCCAGUAAGAUAGUUAAAUCAGCAGUGAUAAAUGUUAUGCAAUGAACCACUGUUAUAUAUAGGAAGCAUGCUGCGAUAAUGAUACCCCAUGAGGAAAAACAGAAACCCUAAUAAUCAUAGCGAUGAUAGUAACACUAAACCUAGAGUUAUGAACUAGUUCUUCGAGUUAAUUAAGAAUUUCUUGGUCACAUCUUUGUAGUCAAGUCAUCCAAACAAAAUUGUAUUCCCUCGUUUAUCCCAAUUGUACCAAGAGACCAUUAUUUGGCGAAAAAGACAACAGAGAAAACAUGUCAGACAUAAUCAUAUAAUCAGUGCUCCCAUAGCCAAAAUGCGCAGGAUUAGAUGUAGUUGGGUAUUAAUGGAGCAAAUUUCUUGACGUCUUCACUUGAGGAGAAGACGACAAACUGAAUUUAACUCAAAAAAUAAUAAUAAAAUUGCGUUUAAAGGAGCUGCAAUGAAUUUAGUUAGGAAUAUGGAAUUAACCUAUCUGGAGAAAGAUGGACAACAUUAAGCAAACAACAUGCGUUUGAAAAAGACUAGCAUUGAUGAAAGGGUUAAAUGCAAAAUACCCCCCACAAACUAUAUACCUAGUUGCAGUUUACCCCCUAAACUAUAAUAAUAGACAUUUUGCCUCCUUGAAUGAUAUGUUUGGACAAAUCUACCCCUUUUAUUUUAAGCAUUGUUAUUUUUCUUUUUUCCCUAUCAUUUUCUUUUUAAAUUCUUCCUUUUUUUUCUUUAAACAUUGUUUAAAUAAGUAGACUAGAUUAGUCAAAAUUUGUUUAUUUCUUAAUUUCAUAUGUCAAUAUUUUAUAAAAAAAAAAUCUAUGGAAUACAAGAUUUUUUUUCCAAAUGUUGAAGUCAAUGUCAUUUAUGAAAUUGAACUUUUCAAAUAUAUAAUAACAAAAUAGAGAAAUUGAUUAAUCAAUUAUUAGUAGUAUCAAUAACCAAAAAAAUGAACUACUAUUGUUGUUUAUUCUUAUUUUUUAUUUCACUACAAAUAACAAUUGCUAACUUUUCUUUUUUAUGUGAUAUAUAAUAUGUUACUUUUAUUAUAAGUAGUUGAGUAACUGUGAACUCUUAAUUAGUUUAUUGGCACUUAAAUUGUUGAAUUACUAGAUUAAUACACUUUACAAUAUAAGCUACAUAUAUUUUGUAAUAACAAAGAGUUUAUGACAAAUUAUUAAGAAUGAAUUUAACAAAUAAACAAAUUAAAAAAGCAGUUUAAAAAAUAUUAAAAUUUUUUAUGUAAGUCUUUUCACAUCGGAGAGAGGCAUUGGCUAGUUUCACGAAAGAAGGAGAAACAAAAAAAAAAUGAAAAAAUGAAAAAAGCUAAUAGAGAAAAAAAGAAAGAAAGGAUUUAAGAUAGUAGGGGUAAUAUUGUCCAAACAUAUCAUUUAAGGGGGAAAAAUGACUAUUAUUAUAAUUUAUGGGGUAAACUGCAACUGGGUAUAUAGUUUAUGGGGAGUUUUUUGCAUUUAACCCUUGAUGAAAAGACUAAUAAAGUCAACAGUAUGCCCACACAAAAUUCAAUUUCCAAGUCACCAUUCCAACCACUUCUUUGACUAAUCCUAAACUUGGAGGUUGAGCUCCAUAAAAAAGUUUAUUCAAAGGCAAAACGAUUUGGGAAUUGCAAUGGGAAGCAAGUCGUUAAAUGAAGUAAUCAAACAUCACUUAGUAAAGGCUUACUAAACUAGUUAAUAAAGAUGUUGUUGGGCUGCUGUAUUCACCAUGAAUUGAUUUAAAGAUGAAAGUUCAGGAUCUUUAACAUGGAAUAUGGUGAUUUUUCUCCAAUUCUUCCUGGCUUUCUCUUUCUCUUUUAUUCAGGUCUCCCCGGCAGGAAAACAGAUACACAUAUAUAUAUACACACACAAAAAGAGAGAGAAAACAUACGAGAUCCUUACAAAAUUUGAAGGUUCAUUAUCGUGAACCAGUGCACUAAGCAUUUAUAUCUUCAUCAAGCCAAAAAAAAAAAAAGAAAGUUAAGAUAGAUAUAAAGCCACACGAAACAUUCAUUUUGUUUUUCAUCAUUACACGUAGAAUCGUUAACACAUACAAAUUACAACCAAGCACUAACAGCAGUAGAAUUGCUAACACUUAUACAAAUUACAACCAAUCACUAGCAGGAGUAGAAUUGCUAACACUUAUACAAACACUUGUACAAAUUACAACCAAUCACUAGCAGGAGUAGAAUUGCUAACACUUAUACAAAUUACAACCAAGCACUAACAGGAGUAGAAUUGCUAACACUUAUACAAAUUACAACCAAUCACUAGCAGGAGUAGAAUUGCUAACACUUAUACAAACACUUAUACAAAUUACAACCAAUCACUAGCAGGAGUAGAAUUGCUAACACUUAUACAAAUUACAACCAAUCACUAGCAGGAGUAGAAUUGCUAACACUUAUACAAAUUACAACCAAUCACUAGCAGGAGUAGAAUUGCUAACACUUAUACAAAUUACAAUCAAGCACUAACAGGAGAGCAAAUUUUUGGAGGCUUCACUAAGCCCAGACAAUGGGGUUCAUUAAAGAUUCUCUUAUAUUAACUUAUAGAUGUAUUAUUUAUUUUCUGCUUUGAGAAGUGAAGCAUCCACAUCUUUUGCAGCAUGAAUUAGCCAUUGGAGGUAAUGAAUUGGAGGACGCCCAUUCUCACUGAUGUUCUCAUAUUCAAUACCCCAUUUGGCAAAGUUUGAGUCACCUUUUGAGAUAACCUGGAACUUAGCGUUAUAGGUCUUGUAUUGUUCCAAAAUGUGCCCUUCAAUUACUUCGUAAGUGAUUGUCCUGUUCUCCUCAUCCACUCCAAUCCUCUCUUUUACAGUUUCAACUUUCCCAUCUGUAUAAAUUUUCACCAAGGUAGAUAUUAAACAAAGUAAUCCAGCAAAGUUAAAAGCAGUUUUUGGAUCUUUUCCAGUACUAAAAUUGUUUCUUAAUCGAUGAAGACGAAAGAUACGUCAAGUGCAGGGUUGGCCUUUGUUACUCACCUAUAGCAUAAGUCAAUAGCUUGACAGAGCCUGUAGUCUUCCAAUCACCUUCAUGAACAUCAAUGCCAUGCACUUUAUCAGAGCAAAGACUUGGAAGCUGGUGUGCUUUGCCAGCAAAGGUGUGGAAGUACUCAUCAGGAUCAAACUUGAUCCUUAUCUCAGCCUCCAAUGUUUCUGCAGUAUUAGCCAUAGUUCCUUCUAGCUCUACUAGUCACAAAACCACUGAUCAGCUCACCUUGAUCUAGUAGAAUGCAAAUGCUAUCGUGUAUGGACCUUAACCAUCGGACCAACAUUUAUAUAGGGCCAGUUCCAAUUUUCCGUACAUCUGUGGUAGUUGGACUAUUAUCUUCAAUCUCUGUCAAUUAUCUUUUAAAUUUAUGCAGUUAUACCAUCAUACCCCAUAUUUUCAAAAUUAGACAUCUCAAAUUUGAAUGCGCUUAAAUUUGUCUUGCCAUUUCUCUUUUUGAUAGUCGAGAAAAUUUUGUAUCAUCUGGAACAACUUUUAAUAGGAUUAGAUAUAUUAUCUCUGAUAUAAGAAUAGGAGGUAACAUGUCACAGAUUCAAGCUCAGAGGAAGAUAAGUGUAGACGUAUAGUAAUUGGCGAAAACUCAUUGUACCGUAUACUUCAUUAUAGACAAAAUUCUGUCCUUUCACCACAUAUUUGCGAAAUGAAAGCCCUCAAAAAAAAAAAAAAGUGAUCUAGUGGCUUAAUUUUAUGAUCACACCUAUUCUUUUCGGCAAAUAGGCCCCAAUUCAUCAAUCAAACUUUAGUCACAGGUCUUAUUUUACAGAUCAACCAUGAGACAAAAAGCAAGACUUGGUACAAUCUCAUGACCAAUCGCUCGAAGUUCAUCAAACACAAUUUCGACAACAAUGAAAGCAGUAGGUACCCAUUGGCCAUUUCGCCUCAUCCUUCAUGUAAAACUUUAGUCAAGAAAAAAGCUGGAGUAACAUCAAUCGAGCUGUUUACCUCAUCGGACCUCCUUCUUCAUAAAUGCCAAUCCAUCCACCAUCUGAAUGAGACAUUACAUUACUUUGCUCAUAAUGCGCUCCCCACUCUAGAAAUUAAUAUUUGACCAUUUCUUCGCAAUAUUGCUAAUUAUAGUUUAGCAAAAUUGCUUAGCUACAAUGUUGUCCUCCAGCACCAAAAAGCAUCUAUAACCCCCAAAUUUAGUUCUUUUUCUUUUUUUUUUUCUAUCUAUGAAGUAUCUCUUUUUCCGACAAAUAGACAACAAGGUUUUAAAUUUCUUUUCUCAAGUUGGAGGGCCCAAUUGACUGACAGGGAUUGAACCACUGUCAGACCAAAUGGAUGCACUACACAUCCGUAUGAAUUUAAGCAAUUUAAAGUGGCAAAUCACAUACAGUAGCAAGUAGUAAAAGGUAAAAUUUGAACUCUUGACCUCCUACCCCACCAAAUCUUAAAGAAUAUGGUAGUGACCAAUAGCCCAAAUGUCUGUUGGUUUAUUUCUAUCUCAGUAGUUGUUCACCCAAUAUUCUAAGUACAGAUUUCUCGGCCCUUUUCAUGUUAAAAUGAAAAAGAAAAAAAAAACAGUAGGAAGUGCUUUGUCUGUUAUUAUUAAGGAUAUAAUUGUUAGCUAAUCUUCUUGAUAGUAAAAACUUUACUUUUUCUAGUAUAUAUAAACAUCGAAUGCAGGUUGUGUUUAUCAACAUACUACUCUUUUAUUCUUCUAUUUCUCUAAAAUUUAAAAAAAAAACAUAUGUUUAUUUGAACCAAAUGCGCAAGCUAUAUCGCGUAUUUUGCCUAUACAAACAAUUGAAGUAUCAUAAAGUACGCUUGCGGGGAACUCUAAGGAGUUAUUCAUCGUAGAAAAGUUGUAAAAUAAAAAUUUAUUGAAAUAUAAAGAAAAGCUCUUAAUUUUUAUCCUAAAACAACUUUAUCAUUCCAAACCCUUGGAGUGAACCAAAAUAUGUUCUCUCUAAUAUAAGAAGGAUCUAAAAUUCUGCAUUCACUGAAAAGUUUAUGCAACAAUUUUGUUACUAAAAAGUGUAAAAUGAUCUCAAUUAAUUAAGCAAUGCGUCACUCGUGAUUUCAAUUUGAAGUUGAAAUUUCAAUGCAUCACUCAUUAAGCAAUACAUAGUUGAAAUUUGAAGUUGGCUACAAUGAAUUACUUUCACUCAAUUAUCACACACACACACAAAGAGAUAAUCAUAUAUAUGCUGGCUAUUAGAUAAAAAUUAAUUAGUUGGGCUGGCAGCCUUUGAUGACUAUCAAUAGAAGAUACACUAUUAGUGGAUACGCUCCCACAAGCUGAAGUCAAGUCAGUCACAAUAAAGACGAAGCCUGUCCCUAAAGUUUUAAUCAAAACACGUUUCAUCCUUAUAGUUCUAUAAUUUUGAUCAAUUUCAUCCCUAAAGUUUCAUGUAAACACAUUUUAUCCUCAUAGUUUCAUAAAAUUAACCAAUUGAGGACAAUUGAAUAAUUGUUAACCAAUUUGGACCAAGUAUCAUUACAUAACUAGCAUUUCCCAUUGAUAAUUGUAUUAAUACUUAAUUCGGUUAUUGAUUAAAUUAUAUAAAUAACAAUGAGUGUGUUCGGAUAAAAGAUUAUUACUUUUAAAUUUGUGAUAUAAUAUAUGUGAAAUAAAAAAAAAAUUAAAUGAUAGAUAGACAAUUUGAAAAACAUGUAUAUAAUGCUACGAAACAAAAUUUUAGAAACAAAUGGCUAUCGAAACAGUUCUUUCUUUCACGUUAAUAUUUUUCUUCAAUUGAUUGCAGUGGGAUUGUUUGAAAGAUUUAUCCAAUUGGCUAUAAUGGUGUUAUUUCUUCUCCAUGACUUCGUUUCCUCUCAAUCUUUUGAGAAAAAUCCACUUUUCGUCCUUCCACUUUGAGUUAGAGAUACAUUUCGUCUCCAAACUUUUAGACACACUGCAUUUAGUAUAUGAAUUAAUUAUUUUUUGCCACUUUUAGUCCAAAAACAGUAAAUUACUUAAUUUGGAGGAAAAAAGUCAUGUGUUUGGCACGUGACCGUUAAGUAAAAUCAAUUUCUCAGUCAAAAUUAAUAGUCACGUCAGCCUUCUCCAUCCAAAUUGAAUAUUUUACAGUUUUUGGACGAAAUGUGGUCCAAAAUAAUUAAUUCAUAUACUAAAUGUGGUAUGUCUAAAAUUUUGAGGAUGAAAUGUGUUCCUAUCUUAAAGUUCAAGGACGAAAAGUGGAUUUUUUCCCAAUCUUUUUGUUCAAUUUGUGAUUAAAAAGAGAAUAAUGGUGGUUGAAAAUUUCUUAGUUUUUUUUAAAUAAGAAAGUGAAUUAAAAAAUAAUUUUUGAGAUUUUUUGUUGAUCCAAUAUUUUCUGAAUUUUACUAACAUGCAUGCUAUGGUCAAGUGAUGAUAUUCCAUUCAAAUUGCCUGUCAAUUCAUCAAUUAUCCUUAAUUAGUCAAAUUUAUGAACUUAUGAGGAUGGAAUGUGUUUACAUGAAACGUUAAGAAUGAAAUUGGUCAAAAUUAUAAAAUUAUAAUGAUAAAAUGUGUUUUGACUGAAAUUUUAGGGACAAAAUUGCCCAACACCUCAAACAAUGAGGAUGAAAAGUGCAUUUUUCCCUAAAAAUAAAAUGAACCUUCGUUCUACCCCUUAUGUUUUUGGGCUACAGUCCUUUUUAGUUAGUACUAUGUUGAUAUUCAAGAUAACCGAACGUAUAUAGCUAGACAUGUUGCUUUUGAGGAAUCUAGUUUUCCCCAUUCCUUGGUCCACCACCACGUCAAAAACAAACCAAUUCAAUCCACCUUGACUUGUUCUACCAAUUCAUGUUUUCAAAUUCAAUGGAUCCUACAUACAUUUUUUAUCACAAACCGACUACUACUCUAACGGAUACCUUUAUGGUGAGAACGGGUUGACCGUGCCUAUGGUAGGAAGGCCUCCAGAGGCCGACACGUGUUGCAGGUGGAUGGAUUGCAGACGGAGACGUUUAGCCGUGGAAUCGCGCGUGGAGAUGCAACGUUAACAUGUUGUCCGCUGCUGCAAGUUAACAGCAGAGGUUCGUACAGCCGUUUGCGUUUUCCAACGCAGUUUGGUGGGCCGGGGCAGUGUAAUUGCAACUCAGAACCACUGCUCAUUUAUACAUUUGCAAAUCUACCCGUUAGCAAGGGGAAAAUGCUGCCAAGGCCCUGGGCAAAAAAUUAUGCGUAAAGAACGAACCGAAGUUUGAACAAAUAAUAAAUGUAAACCGCGCAUGCGAGCGGGAUAAUAACUUGGAAGAAGGAAAAGCAGAGGAGAGGUAUCCGUACUACUCCCUCCAUCGUACUUUGAUAGUCCAAUUUUGCUCUUGCGUCUGUCCCAAAUUCUAGUACAUUUUUCAAUUGAAUUGAAAAAUUUAGUUGUAUUUAAAUUUUCGUAAAAUAGCCUUAUUAAAUAUAAGUUGUUGUUACUAUAUACCCACUUUAUAUAAUGAGAGUUGAUUCUUUUUUUACCAUUAAUUGAAGUUUCCAUAAAGUUGUAAUGUAAUUAAUGUGAUGGUAUUUUAGGAAAAAAGUUACUUAAAUUGAUUGUUCGAACAAAAUUAACUGCUUUUUCUUAGACCGUGCGAAAAACAAAUUUGAACAGUAAAUGUGGGACGGAGGGUGUAGUUUCGAGACAACGGCUCCAAACACUACCUUUAUGGUAGGAAACCUUUGAGCAAUCGUAACGUAGGCAGACCCGUAACAGGUGUAUUUGUAAAAUGAGGAGUUGACGCUCUGUUAUCUUGCAGUGGUAACACCCGUGCAGAUAAACAAAACAAGACGUAUGCGGAUGCAGGCCUUUUUCCCCUCCAAUUGCUGCGUUUAAUGUGCAGUGUUUCCCCACUGCUUUAAUACAUUUUUAAAAAUUGUGAAACUAUAGUUUUGUAAUAAAAUUAAUAAUAACAUACCAACAACAAAUACCCAUGACAUAAAUAUACUAAGCAAUUACAAAAAUAUUUAUGAUUAUGCACAUGUAGUUUAGAAUUUGCUCCCAAACACCGUGGAACUAAAUUUUUCAUUAAAUUUGAAGACAGUACGGAAAAAAGACUGAUUAAUGAAAAACGAUGUUAAAAAAUUUUGAAUUCACCGUCACAAAACAUGAAUUGGUGGGCAAUACCAAAAAGCAGGAUACUUUAAUCAUAUAAUGAAGCAAAGUCAUAAAUUUGAAGGCAAAGUUUUCAUUAAUAAAAAUGCCAACUCUUCACCGCUUUGUUAUCAGGCGUCCGAUGUAUGAGGAAAGUGGCAAUAAUUAAUGUGGUAAUUUAUUCGGUUUAUAUAAGUUUUAAAAUUCUUUUUGAGUUUCGACAAAAAAAAAAUGAAAAAUGUGUAAGACAAAGCACAAAAGUCAAUUUGAUUGGUGUGUUAGGGGAAAGAAUAGCAGAUAUGUAAUGUACCUGUAUUUGACGUUCAAAAUACUGCAGUGAUGUUUGUGAAAAACACCGUAAAAAACAUGUAAUUAAAAUGGAACCAAUUUUGAUUAUUUAAAAUACCCAAUAUGUGAAUGUGUUUUAACUGAUAUCCAUUGAUAUGCUAAAGCAUCGUUAUCCCACGAAAUACCAGCACCUUAACACCUAUUUUUUCCAUAAACAAAUUUAUUGAUGACAUAAAAUAAAACUAUACCCAUUUUCCAAUAAAUGGGUAUUUCUUUGAAAUACCCAGUGUAUUAUUGGAAAACGGUUUUAUUUCUAUUUCAUCCAAUUAAUAAAUUUGUUUAUAGGAAAAUGGAUAGUAUGUUGUUGUAAUAGAUAAAGCCAUAAAGAGGUGGGGUUGUAUUCGAAAACAAGUACAUUAAAAUUUAAUCGGGUUAAAGAAGUUGUAUUCGGAAUAAUGGGUUUUAAAGAGAUGAAAUUUGAUGAAAAAAUGAUACUUUACGAUAUCAAUGAAUAACAGUUGAAACACAUUCACAGACUUGGUAUUUCAAAUCACAGUAUUCAUUAUUUAAAAUACCAAAUUUGGGAAAGUAUUUGAACUGUUAUCCAAUGGUUUCGUAAAAUAAUAUUUUUGGUGAAAUAGCAGUUCUUGAACAACUCUUUUGCCACAAACAAAAUAAUGUAUCGGAAUAAAAAAAUCUGUCAUCCAAUAAAACACCAGCUCUUUAUGACUUUUAUGUAUUACAAGAACAGAGUACCCAUUUUCCCAUAAAACAGCAGCUUUUUAUGGCUUUUAUCUAUUACAAGAACAGAGUAUAUAAAUGUAUAUACGUGUUAAUAUUAUGUAUAAAUGUAUAUUAAUAUUAUGUAUAUUAAUAUAAAUGUAUAAAUGUAUAUAAUACAUAAUAUAAAUGUACAUUUACAUGUAUAAGUGUAUAUUAUUAAAAACAUAUAAAUUAUAAAUCAAUAUUAUAAAAAUGUAUAAAUUAAUAUAUUAUAAAUAUAUAUUAAUAUUAUGUACAAAUGUAUUAAUAUAAUUAAUAUAAAUGUAUACAUGCAUUAAUAUUAUGUAUAAAGGUAAAAUUAAUAUUUUGUAUAUUAAUGUAAAUGUAUAAAUGUAUUAUAUUAGAUAUUAUACAUAAUAUAAAUGUCUAUUAUAAAUAUACAUAAAUAUUUAUACAUUAUGUAUAAAUGUACAUUUAUAUAAAUGUGUAAUAUAUUAUAUAUUAUAUUAUCUAAUAUUUAUGCAAAUAUAUUAUAAAUAUAUAAAAAUAUACUACAAAUAAAAUAAAAAAUUUGUAAUCUGUAUGUAUAAAUAUAUAAUAUUACAAAUGUAUAAAAUAUAUAAUACACAUUAAUAUUGAAUUUAAUUUAUGCAUAAUAUACAUAUUAAUAUAUAUUAUGAAACAAAUUUUAGUAAAUAUAUUUAUUAAUUUAUAUAUAAAUAAAUGUAUUUCUAUAAAUAUAUAUUAUUUAUUUCAAUUCAUAUAAUAUAUAUAAUAUUAUACAUAAUUGAACUAAAUAUAUUCACAUUGAUAUAAUAUAUAUAAUAUACAUAAUUGAAAUAUACCUAUUCAAAUACAUCAUUGAAGUAUACAAAUUGAAAUAUAUUAAAAUAUAAUUCAAAUAUACAUAUUAAAAUACAUAAUUCAAAUUUAGAAAUUUAAAUAUACUUACUACAAUUCACAAAAUUUAUUGCACGAAUGCCGUAAAUACAGGGUGUUUUAUUGCAAACCUGAUUAAAAUUUUGUUCCCGUAAACAAAAUUUUCCACCCCUACAACGGGUACUCAGUUCUUAUAAGCUAUAAACAGUUACUGUUUUAUUCGAAAUCGGUUUAUUUUACUUUCUCUGCCACAUACAUUUUCAAAUGGAAAACGGGGUUCUCUGUUCUUAUAAUGGAGCAAAGUCGUAAAAAGCUAGUGUUCGACUGAACACCGGUGUUAAUUUUGUUUUUAUCCGAUAAAUAAAUUGUGUUAUGCAAAAAAAAUUAAAAGGCUACUCUAUUCUUAUAAUGCUGGAUAAGCCAUAAAAAGCUAGUGUUUUACGACAAAAUGGAUUUAUUAUAUUUUUAUCCCAAAAACAAUAUGGUAUGUCGAAACACGGACACUGUGUUCCAUUAACGGACGAAAGCCAUCAACAGCUACUGUUUUAUUGAAAAACAGGCUGGUUUUUUUUUCCGGAUAAAUAACCAGCCGUUAUGCAAACAAAGCGUACUCUGUUCUUAUACUAGUGCAAAGCCAUAAAGAGAUGGUGUUUUACGACAAAAUGGAAUUAUUUCAUUUAAUUUCCUAAAUAAAGCGGUUUAUGCAAAUACGGGUACUUUGUUCGUAUUACGGAAAAAAGCCGUCAAUAGCUGCUGUGUUAUUGCAAACGGGUUUUUUUUUUUUCAUUUUAUCCAAAACCUACUUUUUUUUAUGCAAAAAUUGGGUACUUUGUUCCUAUAAUGUGGGAAAGCCAUAAAGAGCAAGUGUUUUAUUGUAAAACCGAUUUAUUUUGCUUAAUCCACCAUUUACAUUUUUUAAACGUCCAAAAGCGGUUUUAGAGAUGAGGUGUUUCAUGCAAACUUGGUACUUUACCAUGCCAAUGGAUAACAUUUCAAACACAAUCAAAGGUUUGGUAUUUUAAUUAACAAACAUUCGGUUCCGCUUGGCUUACAUACUUUUCUGGGUACUUUUCAAAAACAGCACUCUAGUCCUUCGAUCGUGAAAUACAAGCCCUGUACAUUUCGGCAUUUCCUUUCCCUUUUACACAAAUCCUUUUGACUUAAGUGCUUUCCAAUCACUAAUUUUCAUUAAUAUGUUUACAUUGCAACAAACAAUUUAAUUCCGCAUAAAUUGCAAAAAAUUAGUAUCUCAACUAUUGGGACUUUGCUGAUUCUUUGGAGGUCUGAUAACAAAGCCGUUGAGAGCUGGUAUUUUUAUUACCGACACCUUUUUUCCGUAAAUGGACUGCUUUCUAUGAUUUUCCUUUACUAAAUGUCAAAGUACCGCCAUUUAAUCACCAUAAAUAUAUCUCUUUGUUCAGAACUUUAAACAAUAAUGCUAUUAACCUGUAUCUUUCCCUUUCAGACCAAGUUUUUUGACUUGUCCAUUUUUUCUGCGGCGCGGACAAAAUUCUUCGGUUACUUUCCUAUAAAACUUUUACACAAAAAAUUUAUAUAUGCAUAAAUUUUUUGUGUAAAAAAACUAAUUUAUUCACAUACGAUCGAGUAUUUAUCCAAGUAUAUUAAAACUCCACACUAAGUAACGUACUCAAUUUUAAUCAUGAAUACAACACUUUUCUGUUAUUUCAAAUAACAAAAAAAAACUGCUUCGCAUAAGUUUUUUUUCAUAACUGCUGUGCGCUAAUCAUUCUUUCUUUCUUCAAAUUUCUGAACCUUCUUUACGCACAUUUUUUGUCCAAGGCAUUUGCAGCAUUUUUGCUGCGGUAAUGGGUACAUUUGCAAAUACAAUAAAUGCCUCUCCUUCUAACCUGCAAUAAGACAUCCUGUCCCAACCCAGGACGAUAGUACGGAACUCUGUGUGCUUUGUUUGCUUCAUUCCGCACGCUGUCUGCUUCAUUUCCUCUCCACGCGCUCACCAUCACUUUAACGUCUCCGUUUGGACCGUUUUGCCCCCAACACGUGUCGCUCCCUGCCACCAUUCCUACCAUAGGCAGGUUCCCACCAUAAAGGUAUCCCUACUCUAACCCUUCUUGUCAAAGUCAAAUCAACUGACCCUAUGCUACUCCGUCACGUAACCAACCAGAACAAAAACACUACUACUUUAGCAAAACUUAUCUCUAAACCUUCUGUGGAGUCAUCUGAACUUAUCUCUAAAUUGAAAUAUGAAGUUAGCUGACAAUAAAUUACUUUCACUCAAUUAUUACUUAACAAAAUAAGUACAGUAUAUUGAAAAUCAAGAUGAGAAUGUGGGGUUGGGACUAGGGCUGCAAACGAGUCGAGCCGAGUCGAGCUUUGAACUAAUCGAGCCGAGUCUCGACUAAAUUUUAUCAAGCUCGAGCUCGAGCUCGACGAGCCGGCAAAUUUCGAGCUCGAGCUCGAGCUCGAAAAAAAAUAAAAAAUAAUUAUUUUAUUUUUAAAAAAAUAAAUAAAAUAAUAUUUUUUUCUUAAUAAAUAAUAAAAUAUUAAGGAUAUAUACGUAAUUUUACUAUGAAAAUAAAAAAUAAAAAAAUAUAUAUAUAUAAUAUACGUAAUUUUAUUAUUAAAUAAAAAUAAAAAUAUAUAUAUAUACCCAAGCUUGCGAGCCGGCUCGCGAGCUAACGAGCUUAAUAUUCUGAGCUCGAGCUCGAUUAAUAGCGAGCUCGACUCGAGCUUGAAUCGAGCCGCUCGCGAGCGGCGCGCGAGCGGCUCGAUUCGUUUGCAGCCCUAGUUGGGACAUCUACAUUUGCUUUCUAGUAUAGCGUCCAUUUCACCAUGUUCACAUCACCUUGGGCAGUUGCCUGGAGAGUGGCUUUUACGAAAACACAGGUCUAAAUUUAAUUGAAAAAUAAAAGUAAAUAUCAAAAUGGUGGAAUUAAAACAAGCAUGUAUAAGCUGGAAUCCAUCAACAAAAUUUUUAAAAAAAAAAGAAUAAAGAGAUUAAUUUGUUAAACUCACAUAGUAAUUUUCAAGGCCAUAAAACUAUAUGUUCAUCCCAGAUAGAGUCUGAUCAUUAAUCAUUUGGAGUACAUGACAGGCCAGUAUAAUUUCUUAUAUUUGGAUAGACUAGAGAUCUAUGUAGAUUCUGUGAUUCAAAUUUUGUCAUACAAUCUCACCAUUUGAAGAAUUGAUGGUGUAAAAAUUUGUACCACAAAACCAAGCCUAUUCAAGUUUUUACCUUCUCGGUAAACUAUAUCAUUACUUAGUUUUAUGGGUAUCUUGUCCUUGCCAAGAAAACUAAUGAAAUGACUGAUUGUUUUUUUUUUUUGGCGUGUAAAGGCAACCACUUGAGUGAUUUCAGGAUAGACAAUGAUGACUUUAAGCCAUCAAAGUUUACUUUGCAGUAAAAAUGUAUGGCUCCAAAAUUUUUCUCAGUCUUGUUAAAAGCUGUCAUAUAUAUAUAUAUAUAUAUGUCUGCUUUUUCUCCUACAGAUUAAUUACUGACUAAUAACUUUCUUGGCCCAUGACAAUAGGAACCGUCCGUCGUGGUGUCACAUACCUAAGGGAGGUUCGCACUGAUAUUUCUAAGGUAGGUAGGACCAAUAGGAACCAAAAGAUGACUCAGGAGCAUCAAAAUUCGGUUUGGACUCUGGACCCAACCACUUUACACUAGAGCGCGUUGUGCAGUACAUCCAUGGGCCUUCACCUUCCCCACCACAAAUUACAAGGACAGGACAGGAGCAUAAAAAUUGGCCUUCCGUUGCGGCCUUAUCUCUCUACACUACACUAGAACGUGUUGUAUGUGUAUCCAUGGGCCUGGUCCUGGGCCCUCCCAACCCCACCACUAAUUAAACGAGAUGGGACAGCGACCCUCGUGUCCAUUUGUUUUGUUUGUGACACUCAAGACAGCGCCAAUAGAGGACUGUGUCAACUAUUCACACCAUAGACUCAUCUUCGCCUAUGAUAGGACAGCAACCUUUUGACCAUACUACCGUGGGCUGUUUGUACGUGUCAGAAGAGUAAAAGGUAAACGUAACAUGCUGUCUAACCUCUCGUUUAGGUCGUGGUGGAUUGCUGGUUUUGGAGUUUCUGCAUAAAAAUGUAGGGUUAAUCACAUUUUAUCCCCUUAAACAAUACCCUAUUUUUCAGUUUACCUCCUAACCUUUAAUUUUGCUCACUUAACCCCUUUUAGGACAAAAUUGCCCUUGCAUUAUUUUGACUUUUCAUUUACCUUGUUUUCUUUUCUUUUAUUUCUUUUUCUCUUUCAUUUUUAUUUAAUUCUUUCUCUUUUCCACAAAAAUCUUCACCUUAAUGAUUGAAAUUAAAAAAGAGGAAUUGCAGAGAUCUAUCUUUUCCUUCAAUGAUUAAAAAAAAAUUCAAAUCACUUUUCUAAAAUACAAUUUUUUUUAGCCUUUCAAUUCUUUUAAUUUUGGGUUUUCCUCUUUCCUUUCUAGUUUCUCAUUUUAUUCCCAAUAAAAUAUCUUAAGAUGAAAUUGUGACCUGAUUAAUAAUUAUCAAUUGAAAUUUGUGACACGUGGCAUCAUACAAAAAAUCAAAAUUAGUUUUUUAUGUCUUUUAAACUUUCGCCCAGAAAUAUGCAAUUACAAACUCAAAACAAAAACAUUCGUGAAAAUCGAAUUUUCUAUUGGGAAGGAUGAUAGAGAGAAGAAAGAGAAAAAGAAAUAAAAGAAAGGAAAACAAUUUCAUCUUAUGAUAUUUUCUUGAGAAUAAAAUGAGAAACUAGAAAGGAAAGAGGAAAAUCCAAAAUUAAAAGAAUUGAAAGGCUAAAAAAAAUUGUAUUUUAGGAAAGUGGUUUGAAUAUUUUUUUGAUCAUUUAAGAAGAAGAUAGAUCUCUGUAAUUCCUCUUUUUUAAUUUCAAUCAUUAAGGUGAAGAUUUUUGUGGGAAAGAGGAAGAAUUAAAUAAAGAAGAAAGAGAAAAAGAAAUAAAAGAAAGGAAAACAAGGUAAAUGAAAAGUCAAAAUAAUGCAAGGGCAAUUUUGUCCUAAAGGGGGUUAAGUGAGCAAAAUUAAAGGUUAGGGGGUAAACUGAGAAAUGGGAUAUUCUUUAAGGGGAUAAAAUGUGAUUAACCCUAAAUAAAAAAGAAAGAGAAAAAGAAAUAAAAGAAAGGAAAACAAGGUAAAUGAAAAGUCAAAAUAAUGCAAGGGCAAUUUAGUCCUAAAGGGGGUUAAGUGAGCAAAAUUAAAGGUUAGGGGGUAAACUGAGAAAUGGGGUAUUCUUUAAGGGGAUAAAAUGUGAUUAACCCAAAAAUGUAUUAUUAUAGUGAUUGGAUGUAUGCAGAAAAAUGAUUAGAAAAUUUAUUUACGGAAAAAAUGUGAUUUUUUUUUUUGAAAAAAUGACCUUCCAAAUGAUGUCUAGAGUCGGGUACAAACUACCCACAACGAAUACAAACUACCAAUCACAAUUAUUAGAUUUAAACCAUGCUUUUAUCUAUUGUCUGAGACUAGUAAUUCUUAAUUUCAGCAUCACUAGAAAAAUGUAAAACCGAUUCCGCAGGUUUAUACUUGGUGAGUUUGAAACACUUCUCUUUUAAACUUUUUUCUCUCCCUUCUGACUAAAAACUCUUUUAAUCAAAAUCUCCUUCAUCUCUCCCAUCAGAAAGAAAUCAAAUCUGAUCCUUUUCAUGGGAGGAAGUACUCUUUAUAAUUUCUAGUUUCUCUCAUUUGAAUAAAUUAUCUCCUAAGAUUUCAUAAUGAGAGAUUCUUCUCUCUUAAGAUUUCCUAGUAAGAGUUUCUUCUCUCCUAAAUUAUUUUAGUGGGAGUUUUAUUCUCUUCUGGGUUUUUCCUUGUGAGAGUUUUUCAGGUUUUUAUCUUUACUAAAUUUGAAAUUUUGUAGAUCUAGAAUCUAGUUUCUCAGAUCUGUAAUUUCUCCAUUAUUUUCAGAUCCAAAUUUCUCUUUGAACUUGAAUCAAUUUUAAUCAAAUCUGAUUGUCAGCCAACGUGCACUAAUAUAUUGGGAUACAGCGAUCCAUCUGGAUGGAAGAUAUAUGGAAGUUUAAUGUUAUCUUUAUUUGUAUUAUUUUCUUAGAUCUGUUAUAUCUAUUGAUUUCAGAUAUAUAAAUAUAUAUAUAUCUGUGUCAUGUUUGUUUGAUAUAUUUUCUGCUAUUAGUGCAGAUUUAUUUGAAUGAAAUGAUCUUUUCUAUAUAUAAAAAAGGGAUAAUUUCAGAAACCUCCCUUGAGAUUUUUGACAAUUUCAUGAAGCCCCCAUCAAUAAUUUAAAAUUACACAUACCUCCCCUAUCAGUGCAAAAGUACUCUACUACCCCUCAUAGAAUACUUAAAGACAUUUUUUGUUGGAAAAAAUUUGAAUAUCCAAACCAAAAACAAACACAGCAACAAUUGAUUCUCUCUCUUGGAUGCCCCUUACCUUGCUUUUUUUCCCACAUCCUCCUUUGCCCAACUUCCCAUCGGCCCUCUCCAAUUCUCGUCUACCCAACUUUCCUGUUCUACUUUAGGACACUAAGUAUUGCCCAUCAACUCUUGCCCGUGCUUGUCCCCCUUCUUUUUCCUACUUGACUUCUCCUUUUUUUUUAUUUACUUUUUCUACAUCAAUUCCCUUCUCUUUGCAAACUUGAUUUGAUUAGACUCAUCCCUUCCUCCUUUUUUUUUUUCCUAUUCAGGGUGUAGUGGGUUUGAUUUUUUUUUUGUAUCUAUGUUCUUUAUCCAAUUUUAGUUGAUUAUGGGGGAUAAAACUUGGUGAUGCCAAAGAUCAAUCAUUUGAGUUUUUCAAAAAUUAGUUUUUCCAAUACUAUAAAAAAUUUUAAAAAGUACUCUAAAAGGUACUCUAAAAAGUAGUCUUAAAUUUUUUUUAAUGUUUAAAAAAUAUCCCAAAAUAUAUUCUAAAAACUCUACUACUCUUAAAUAUUCCAAAAUAUAUUCUAAAAAUGUUUCAAAAUAUACUCUAAAAACUUUGCUACAGUCAAAUUUUUUAAAAACACUCCCAACGGCAGCUAAUCCAAAUGGAGCCCAAGAGUUUGAGAAAUGGAUCUUUGGUUUCCUAAAAUGGGUUGUUGAAAGAAAACAAAAGGCUGCAAAGGGAGGAAGAGUAAAGGGAUUUGACAUGUGGGAUUGGUUGUUGAUGGAGUGUUGGUUUUAGAUAAAAUUUGAGGCUUUUUAUUUCUGGUAAAAUUUGAUGGAGUAUCGAUUUAAUUUUAUCAGUUUAAUAAUAAGAGGCGGGUGUAUUUACCUUGUAGAGAAAGUGUUGGGGCUGGAUAGAGAGUAAGAAUUAGCCUAGGCUGCCGAAAGUACAUUGGAUUGCGAUAUUUUGCGUGCCUACAAUUGUUGGAAUUGCUUUUGAUUCAGCUUGGGAUGUUUGCUUGGCUUUUCCGAUGGUGUUGCCAAGAAAAAGCAAUCAUCAAAAUUCUUUUUAUUUUAUUUUUUAAAAAUUUUUGGUAGAGAGGAUUUCUUGGCUUUUGAUAGUCUUGCUUGGAAGAAGACUAUAUGAAGGAAAAUGUAGGCCAUUGGGUCUAUUUUGAAGCAUAAAUAGUGAAAGCAAGGGUGGUGGGUGUAAUUUUUAAAAUUUAAGGAGACCUCUCUGAAAUUGUUUGAAACCUCAGGGGAGGUUUCUGAAAUUAUCCCAAAAAAAAUUCAGCAUUACUAAAGUAAUUGUAUUGUGUUUAAACAACUUGUUUAUUUGCUUUUUCCUCUUUCACAUCUACUAACAUUUAUCAUCGUAAUCAUAUUUUACAUGUAAUAAUGUGUAAAACAAAACCAUCGUAGUUAGCAAUUACUCCACUUCAUAUUUUAGUCCUUUGCAUGGUUUUACCCAAUUACUCAUGGUCACCAUUGCUAGAGUUAGGCAUUGAUUUUAAAAAUUGUAUCAAGUAUGUAAUCCGUUUUCUCUAUUGUCCAAUAAAAUGUCCUCACUAAUUAGUUUUCUUUUUCCAAUUCACUAUUAUCUGCGUAAAUGAAAAUAAUAUUAUUCGUCGUGGAAUCACAUUUUUUUAAGUGUAUUUGUGUUCUAUCAAUAUUCAGUGACAAAUACAAAUUUACAUUCAUUUGUCUCUUCUUUCAUUGUUAAUAUCCAAUGCACAAAUUUAAUAAAAUUAUAUAUUAUUUUAUUUCUUAUAUUCACUGAAUUAUAAACUGCCAAAUUUCUAAUAUAUUCUCUAUGCCUUCCAAUUCAAGAAAACCAUACCAUUUCUCCUCCUAAAUACAAAGUUAUAUAUCAAUUAACAAUGUUUAAUAGACAGCCCAUUUAUGCAUUUUCCCUUAAAGGCUCUUCACUUAUUACACUUUUUUUUUUUUAUCUUACACUUUACUGCAAUGGUAUGACACGCUAUGAUAUUUCAUACAAUGACCCAAUUCAUUUUUAUCAACAAGAUGUGGCCAACAACCAUGCACUUGUAACUUUUGCGCAGCAUAAUGAACAUUGUCUAAUGUAAAGGGCUAUAUUACCUAUAUAUAUAUAUAUAUAUAUAUAUAUAUAUAUAUAUAUAUAUAUAUAUAUAUAUAUAUAUAUAUAUAUAUAUAUAUAUAUAUAUAUAUAUAUAUAUAUAUAUAUAUAUAUGUAGAACUCAAAUUUUUAAAGAUUUCUAAUAGUGGCAACACCUGCAAUUAAGAUCUUAUAAAUUCUCUUAAACUCUCUUGACUCUUAUAGAUACUCUUAACAAGAUUUAUUAACUAAUGUUUUAUAUAUAACCUACUAGACUUAUUGUGUAAGAAAUCACUUACGCAAAAAAUUACUAAAUAAAGUAUAAAUUCCUAAAUUACGUACAUAACUACUAAAGACCUGAUUCUAAAUAAAACUACUAAAUUAUUAGACAAAAACUUGUAGUCUUGAUUCAUUUGCCAGCAAAUCAAUCAUAUAGUAUUUGUUAGCCACUAAUUUUUUCAACCCAUAUCAAGUCUUUUACGUGCCACCAAUAAUGGCUCUUUUAUCGGCAUUGACCUAUUACCCAAUUUGAACUUCAUCCCUGCAGGAAGAACGACGAUCUAAUUUGGACAACAAAGAACUCAGGGUGGGUGGGGGGAACCAGAAGAGAUGGGACCUUAUGGCCCUGCUCGCCAACUCAGUUAUCUUAUAUUGGGAUACAACGAUCCAUCUGGAUGGAAGAUAUAUAGAAGUAUAAUGUUAUCUUAGCAAAACGUGCACAUCGUGCUUUGCUUUGCCAUCUAAUCUUCUUCUUCUUUUGUUUUUUUUGCUUUGCUAUCUAACCUGACUGUUCUGACACCAGAAAUAUUUGUAAAUUUAUUUCUUGCCUGACCUCUUUUAAUGCAGUAUCAAUUACUUCUGGAAAGCAACUUUGCUAUAUAUCGCAACCACCGACACCCCAGGCACUAAUUAUUUGACACGAUAACAGUCUUUUUUCUACACAUGCUUCAUGCUUCAUGUCUUUUUUAUACUUUGAUCUUAUCAGCUCAUUCUACCAUUUAAUGCGACCGAAAAGAAAGUGAAACUGUCCCCCAAAUCUGCCCGAAUACCAUCAAAUAAAUAGCCUACAUGAAUGUGUUAUGUACUAUAAUCUUUUUCCUAUUGCAGCUUGAUGAAAAUGGGAAAUAGUUUUACCCUUCAACUCGUAUAGACAAUCAAUAUACACAAUUUUUCUUUUACUGCAGUUUCUACAUUGAUCUCCUUUUUCUAAUAUUAAGUAACACGAUGAAUUAAUCUCUUAAACUUCCAAAUUGCAGUAAUUACAGACAGAUGUUUGCCAACUUACAACUACAGCUUGGCUAAAUUUCUCAAGACAAAGAAAAAUAUUUUUAAGUAGGCAUCUAUGUGCAAUGUAGGUAUGAAACCAGAGAAUUCUAGUAGGGUUAAUUAGAAAUAUCCAAAAAUAUUCAGGCAAUUCAUAGAAUUAUACUUAUUAAAGCAUGUCCUAAUAAUUAUAGUGGAAGUAGUUUAAAAAAAAAAAAAAAGGAAUGUUGGGAACAAAUUAAGCUAAUUAAAAAUAAUCAUUUUCUUUGUUAUACCUACCAAUUUCAUUCAAAAAUAAUUAUUGUCUUUUUCAUACCUAACAAUUUCAAGUUAAUUAAAUCACAGUUUUUUUUUAAAAAAAGAUAGUAAGACAAAAUUGUAUAGUUUAGCUUAUUAAACAUUCAGUUUUAGAUAUUUAUCAAACAUUAUAGAUAGAUUCAGUAUUAAGAUUCAGACAUUCAUAUAUUUCUUUUCAGCACUUAAAAUUUAGCAAAUUAAUUGUUUCAAUAUUCAGUUUCAGAAUUCAGAUUCAAUUUUAUCAAAUAGGACCUUAGUGUGUACUCCUAAUUGUAAUUGAAUUUGAUAUUUUAAAAUUGACAUUCAAUACAAACUUUUAUGUUUAACUAAAUUUGAUUUUUCAAAGCCACAAUUAAUACAAAAUCUCAAAUUGAACUAAAUUUGAUUUCUUGUAAAUCAUAUUUAGUACAAGAUGUUAAUUUUAACUAAAUGUGAUUUUAUAAAUGUGACAUUCACUACAAACUCUUAAUUUUAACUGAAUUUGAUUCUCUGAAAGUCACUUUCAUAAAAAAAAAAUUCAAUUUUAACUAAAUGAGAUUUCCUUACAUUCACAUUCUAUACAAACUCACAGUUUUAGCUACAUUUGAUUAUUUGUUGAAACGUGAUGCAACAUGUUUGGUAUACGUAACUUGAUGGAACAUAUUUGUGCAUUUGAUAUUUUAUUUGAUCAAUGUUUCUAAACAAACUUGAAGUAACAUAUUUGCGGACGUACUAGUGUAUAAGUCAAUAUUCGUAGUUACUCAAUUUGUCAGGAUCAUAAUCUGUUUUAUCUUUGUCGUUGCUGUUUAGUUCAGCAAAUGUUACUCCAAAUCCUAGGCACAUGAAACAAAGAAAAUUAUACUUCUUUUUUGGUACAAAAAGAAAAAUUACACUUCAAUUACUGCAUUAGUAUAUGGUAUUUUACAAAAUUGGUGACAGAAAGAAUAAGUUGUGAUGCAUAUGUCAUCUUACGUACCUUAAUAUGCAACACUGGUCUGGAGUAAAUAAAAAGGAGAAUUUAUGUAAUCAAAAUAGCAAUUAAUCAAUCUUACAAUUUUAGUAUUGAGUUAGUUUUUGUUACCUAUUGCAUAAGUCCAAUGCUUGACGGAGCCCUCAGUUUUUCAAUCGCCUUCGUGAAGAUUAACACCAUGUUCUUUGUCGGAGCAAAGAUUUGGAGGUUGGUGUGCUUUACCACCAAAGCUAUGGAAGAAUUCAUCAGGAUCAGGCUUGACCUUUAUCUCAGCUUCUAAAUUUUCCAGCCAGAUUUGGACUAGCCAUAAUUGGUUGAAGUAAUACUGAAAAACAACUAUGCAUUUUUUCCUAGUAAAUGUUGUAUCAACUCAACUGGCUGAACCAACGUUUAUAGAAUCAAUUUUCAUGUUGCAGUAGCUUUAAGAUUAUUACGUAGAUGAAGUCCACAUUUUGUGCUUAAGAUCUCAAUUGGAGAAAACUUUCAGAUGAUAGUAUUUACUACUUGCGUAAUUAGCUUGAUAAUUUUAUUAGAGGGGUAAAAAAUGUCGUAGCAUCGGUUCACUUGGUAGUAGACAAUUUUUUUUUCCCAAGUUCUACAAUGUUUUUUGGAUGAUUGGAAAAGGAAUUCAGAGUAUGUUGACAACUUUUUUUUUUAAGGUAGUCACUCGUAUUGUUGCAAGAAUGGAAAUAAAAAAAAAAUUUGGCCCUUCAAACCAAGAAACUGUACAUUCAUCCACUUCAUGAAUGGUGAAGCGCAAUAGAAAGUCGUCUAUUUUUUUUACUUUUUACUUCUUUUCCUUUCUUUGUUGGAUGCUCAACAACACGAUGGAUUUGCUGAACAACACCAUGAAAGCAACUCUUCGGCCAUUUCCAUGUUGAAAAUUUCAGAAUGGAAACCUCAAUUGUUGCAAAGUCGAUGCUUGACAACUUUAAGGUGGCAUAAAGUGACUAUCAUGAAAGUUCAAAAUACAAGUGAGAACUAGCUAUAGCAUUAAAGUGAUUAUCCGAAUUACUAUACCGGACCCGGAUCCGACCCGUUUACCCGACGGGUCUUUUAUUCUAUGUUCCGGAUCCGGAUCCGGCGGGUCCCGGAUCCGGGUCGGGUCUACCCGAACAAAUUUAGCAAAAUUUAUAAUUUCUAAUAAAAAUGAGAAAAAAAUAUAUUCGUAAACUAAUUUCUAACUGAUGCAAAGAAAAAACCAAAUAAAAAAAGAAAUCAAAUUGACUUUAUUCAAAUACAUCAUCCUAAUCAAAUUAUAUUGAUAAAUAUAUAUUUUUUAAAUUAUUAAUUCAUUUAUAUCCGAAUCCGGGUCUAAUACGGGCCAGAAUACUAUAUUCCGUAUCCGACCCGUUUUUUGUUUGACAAAACGGAUCCGGAUCCGAAAAACGGAAUUAAAUCCCUACCCAUACCCGCAAUAAUUUCACGGAUCCGGUCCGAAUCUGGGUCUAGACCCGACCCGUUGACAGGCCUAUGCUAUAGUACAAAGUAGAGGUGGCAAAAUGGGCGGGAUGGGCGGGAUUUGCUUGGGUUUAAAAUGGAACCGAAUCAUAUGGGUUUGGGCCCAACCUUACCCAUAUAUGUUUUGGGACUAAGUUGGGCGGGAUCACUUUGGGAUGGGUUUAGAUUGAUCCCGUCCAAUACCCAAAUCUAUUUUCUACAUAUUUUUUUCCUUUAAUUUAUUUUUUAUAUAAUUUUAAUAUUUUUUAUUUAUUAAAUUUCUUUUAGUUUUAUUAAAUAAACAUGCAAGUGGCUUUAUACUCAAGAUUAUCACCAAAAAUUGGAUAAACAAAUAAAGGAAAAGAUAGAUAUACAAUCAUGACUAUAAAAAUUGUUAAAGAUAAUUUUUGAAUCUAAGACUCCGUUUGGAUUGGUUAUUUUUUCAAAAAAUAAGUUUUUCAAAUACAAUGUUACAGUAAUAUACAAUAACUCAAAAAAACAUCCCAUCCAUAUUAGUAUAUCAAAUAUUUCAAAAAAAAUUUAUAGUAAAAAUUUUUCAUUUACACUAAUACAAUAAAAUAUUUCAAAAACACCCCUCAAAAAUAGUUAAUCCAAACGGAGCCCUUACUAUUUGAGUCCAAUGGGUACCCAAGCAUUUUCCAAAAUUUCCCAUCAAUUAAUGGGUACAAUUGGGAUUUGUCCCAUUUUAAACCCAAUAUCAAAUUCCAAUAUCCAUCCCGCCCAAAGUCUCAAUGGGCAUGGGUAACCCAUUGGGACUUGGGACAAAUUGCCACCUCUAGUACAAAGAAACAACUUCAAAAUGGCAGCUGCUAAUAAUUGGCAUCAUACAUAUGCAACAUAUAUUGAAGACCUAGGACCAAUUGGCAUACACAGGGAUAAAGAUCUUACUAAUGAAUUGAUCCAUGUAGCACAAAGAUAUGCAUCUAAUUCGAUUACAUUCUUUAUUUUUUGUUUUGCUUUUCCGAGAAUUGCAAUUUUAUUGUACUAAUUCCUUUUACUGCUGCAGAAAUCUAUAUGCUCCAUUACAAGCAUAUAUAUUAGGCCUUGAUAAGUGAAGCGUCCACAUCCUUCCCCAUAUGAAGUAGCCAGUCCAGAUAAUUAGUUGGACUAGGCUCAUUCUCGUUCAGUUUUUCAUAGUCAAUGGUGUAUUUGGCAAAGCUGGAGUCACCUCUGGAGAUAACUUGUAACGUUAUUAUAUAGUUCUUGUAGUGCUUCAUGCAAUCUCCAUCUAUUGCCUCAGAAGUAAUGGUCUUGUUCUCCUCAUCAAUUUUGAGCCUGUCUUUGAAGACCUCAACUUUGCCAUCUAUAUUUUCAUCACAAGUAGAUUCAUCAGUAGCUAUCAGGCUCUAUUUGCCACAUUUUGGGAAAAAAUCAAUGCAAAAUGAAAAUUCUAAUGGAAAAAAAAAUAUGAAUUAGGAACGUUUCAUGCUUCAUAACACCAAAUUAAAUUACAAUAUACACUCCUUAUAAUUGAUGUCUUUCUAAUUUUCUUAUGUAAAAAUUAAACAAUUGACCAAGUAUGCCAACUACUUCACAAGCAAGGGCACAAAAAAACUCAUAAAAAUGAAAGGGGUAAAUGGACAUCAAGACACAAGUGGAAUGGUGGCUUUACCUAUGACAUAAGUCCACAGCUUGAUAGAGCCCUCAGUUUUCCAGUCACCUUCGUGCACUUCAAUCCUGUUAACUUUCUCAUUCGCAAGAUCUGGGAGUUGGUGUGCUUUAGCGCCAAAGCUAUGGAAGAACUCAUCAGCAUCAGACUUCAGCUCGAAUUCAGCCUCCAACUUACCUACUAAAUUAUUAGCCAUAGGAGAAAGUUUCAAGAAUUGAUUAAAAAAAAAAAACUACUAAUAACCUUGAUAAUACUAUGUAUUAUGCAAUUCAGUCACACCUGAUUUAUAGAUGCUUCAUGAAUUGGUUGGCUCCCACAAGUUAGAAAUGUGUGGUUCUCUCUUUCUUUUCUGCAAAACACACGUGCCAUCAAUGAACAUAGAUGCAUGUUGCAAUGUCUUUUCAGGCAAAUGAUAUAUUGCCAGGUUUAGCCAAUAUUGUCACACAAAACUAUUAGUUAUAUCGGCAAGUGAUGCAAUCCUAUCUCCAACAGCGAAUUGCACUGUGAAAUACUAUUGAUCAUAUGGGAUUUACUUUGCUGUCUAAUCCCUUAUCCAUUGAAAGCAGAAAUCAAAGUUGCUGUACAUUCCAAUUGACAAUUCCUCGGGCAAGUUUUCUUUAUUUUGCUAAGCUGUGCGUCUAGGGCAUCAUGCCAAUUAAAUUCAACCAUAGAGAGGAUAAUUUCCACUUUGCGUCCACAAUGUUUUAAUAGAUUUUCAGUUUGCACUUGAAAAUUUUAAUUUAAAUACUUUAUCAUAUUGGAAAUUACAUAUAUUUUUCUCUUAAAAAGUAAAAUUACCGUCGUUAAACUACAUUACGUUUUACCACAAAUAUUUUUGUAAUCUUUUGGUAACUCUAUGGUUUAAUCCAGAUAUAAAAUGGGAAAAUAUACAAAUUGAGUAUCGUUGAAAAGAGAGGAAAUUAACUUUUGGUAUGCAACUCCAAAUAAUGUAGCUAAGAAGCCAAUAUUGCUUUACACCAGUUAUUUAUAUUCAUCUACUUUUUACGUACCUGUACACAUUUGUUAUUCCAACGCGCAAGUUUUAGAGUACAUUUUGACUAACAAUAGUUGUGGAGAUUUCUGCUUGUUUUGUUCACCUCUUUGGGGACAAUUGGCAGGAAGUCAAGAUAUGAUAACUGAUUAGGGAGAGUCUAGGGAUAUCAUCUUAAUUUGCCAUGUUCCAUAUUAAAGUCCACCACACCAUAUCUCUAUCAUACAUCUCAGGACGAAAAAGCAACAUUUUACUAAACUACAUGGCGAAAUUUUGAUCUAAACUAAGUUUUUUCUUGUGAAAUUGUGAUCUAAAUUAAGUGUUUUUCGUGUACUUUUGUUACAUAAUCAAUCUGCGUGUUUGUUAUUAAUAGUUUGCUUUUCAAAUUUAGUGAUCCGCUUUCGAGUAAAUAGUUGUUUAUUGUUAUUAAUAGUUGUUUUUGAUCAUUUUGUGUAGAAUUACUAACACACAUAAAAAUUACAACCAAGCAUUAACUCGAGAGCUUAUUCUUAAAAGCUUCACUAAGCUCACUUCUAUUCUAUUGCAUUCAUUGUUUUUUUAAAACGUAUAUGGUAUCCAAGUCAAGAUAGCUAUAGAGAUAAAUAUUUCAUAUGUAAAAAGAAUUUUCAUAUAUAAACUUAUUUUCGUGCUUUGAGAAGUGAACCAUCCACAUCUUUUCCAACAUGAAUUGGCCAUUAGAGAUACUAAGUUGGAGCAGGGUCAUUCUCGUUAAUGUUCUCAUACUCAAUACUCCAUUUGGCAAUGCUCGAGUCACCUUUUCGAAUAACCUGUAACUUAGCCUUGUAGUUCUUGUAUUGUUCCUUAAUGUGUCCUUCAAUCGCUUGAGAAGUGAUGAUCUUGUAAGCCUCUCUUUAAUAGUUUCAACUUUCCCAUCUAUUUGAAUUUCCAUCAGAAUAGAAAUUAAACAAAGCAAUCCAGCUCAAUUAGAGGCACUUGUUCUUCUCCAAUGCUAAAAUUAAUCUUCAAUCAAUAAAGACAAAAAGUAUGUCCAAUGAUGCUUAUGUAUUCAUGAUGUCCUAGGAAGUAAUCAAUACAAAAUAAAAGAAAAAAUGUCCCUUAAUUCUCAUGGAUGAUACGACAAAAUUGAAAAAUAAUAAUAUGGACUUAAAAAAGUAUAUAUUGCAAAACCAUAGUAAUUGAACCUUCAAAACAUCAAGUAAAGAGUUGCCUUAAUUUGUUAUUUACCUACUGCAUAAGUUCAUAGCUUGACAGAGCCAUCAGUCUUCCAAUCACCUUCAUGAACAUCAAUGCCGUGCACUUUCUCAGAGCACAAAUUUGGAAGCCGGUGUGCUUUACCACCAAAGCUAUGAAAGAACUCAUCAGGAUCCGACUUGAUCUUUAUCUCAGCUUCCAACUUUUCUGCUGUGUUAGCCAUAGUUGUUUCUAGAUCUAAUGCUCACAAAUUAUGCUACUGAUCAGCAAGAACCUUGACCAAUAAUCCAAUGUAUUAUGCAAUUCAAUUUCUUUACCACCUGAUUUGUAGAUGCUUCAUGAAUUCGUAAUGGCGCCCACAAUUUAGAAAUGUGUGGUUCUCCAUUGUCUUGGCUGAAAAAUAUACGUGCCAUCAAUGACAUAAAUCCACAUGUUGCAAUAUCUUUUCAGGCAAAUGAUAUGCUGCAGGGUUUAGCCAAUAUUUUCACACUUGAUUAUUAGUUAGAUCGGCAAAUGAUGCACUCCCAUCUCCAAAAGAGAAUUGCAAUGUGAUAUAAUGAUGCGGGAUUUACUUCGUUAUGAUCUAAUAUUAUCCAAAGAAAGCAGAAAUCAAAAUUGCUGUGCAAUAAAUUGAAGUCCAACAAGGUUUAUAUCCAUGAUAAUUAGUCAGACAAGUUUUCUUUAUUUUGUGAAGUUAUAUAUUUAGGGCCACAUGCCAACUAUCAACAGAUAGAGUGCCUCACAAAUUCCAUUUCAGACAAGUUUACCUUAGUUUAAUUGAGUUGAAAGAUGGUACAACAAAAAUUUAGAUAUGAUGUAACUAAAUUAAAAUAUAGUGUAAUAAAAAUUGAAAUGAUCAUUUUGCCUCGAAAUGAAAUCCUCAACGAUCCAAAGAAAUACGGACGCAGAACACUAGCGUAACCUAGAGGACAAUUUUGACUUUGCAUAGGUAAUGUUUUGAUAGAUUUUCAGUUUGCACUUUAAAACUUUAUACAUUGAAUUUUACAUAUAUAUUUUAUCACGAAUACACUCUUUUUUUCUGUAAUCUUCUGGUAAAUCUAUGCUGUGGUCAAAAUAUAUAAUGGGCAGAUAUACAAAUUGAGUAUCAUUAAGAAGAAGUGAAAUUAACUUUUGAUAUGCAACUCGAAAAAUUAGUUAAGAAAUCAUUGUAGCUUUACACUUGUUAUUUAAAUUUGGAUUAAUACACUUGUUAUUUAUACAUUGUCAGCGUCGGAUGAAUAGCAACUAUGCAAAAUUUAAAUUUAAAAUUUAACUUUUACAUACAUGUCAUGAAUCUAACGGUGAUAGUGUAUACACUGUUAGUGUAUCUAAGACUUACUCGUUAAAUUUUGUACACUCAUUACGUACAUUUGUACAUUUAUUGUUCCCAUAUAUGCAUUAUAGAGUACAGUUAUAACUAACGGUGUGGAGAUACUUCACCCCAGUAUUGUCUUUCUGAUCGUCUAGUUCCCCUAUCUGGGGACAUUUAGCAGGAAGUCAAGAUAUCAUAACCGAGAAGUUAUGAUAACUGAGUAGGGAUAAAAUCAUAAUUUGCCCAAAUUUCUACAAUAAAUCGCAGGAGAUAAAGCAAAAUUUUAUUAAAUUACACGAUGAAAUUGUGAGCCAAAUAGAGCAAUUGCUCAUGUUCCUUUGUGUACGUAACCAAUUAACGUGUUUGGUAUCAAAAGAUUGCUUAUACAAUUUAGAGAUCCUAAGAAACAAUAAAAAAAGAGGUGUUUAAAGAGAGAGAACUUAGAGAGAUCCUUGAAAUUUGAAGGUUCAUUAGGGGUCAAACAGUGAGCCCAAAAAAAAAAAAAACUAAGACAGAUAAAAAGCCACACGAAACCUUCGUUUUAUUUUUUUUUAUCAGCAAACGUACAACGGUUAACACUCAUAUGAAGUACAACCAAGCCUUGACAGGAUGGCAAUCAUAUGGUAUAUAUUACCCAUAGAAGUAUCAUAUGGUAUAUAUAGAUAUAUUUAUUUUCGUGCUUUGAGAAGUGAAGCAUCCACAUCUUUUGCAGCAUGAAUUAGCCAGUGAAGGUACUUAGUUGGAGCAGGAUCAUUCUCCUUGAUGGUCUCAUACUCAAUGCUCCAGUGGGCAAAGUUUGAGACACCU